GAUGAACGCUGGCGGCGUGCCUAAUACAUGCAAGUCGAGCGAACAGAUGAGGAGCUUGCUCCUCUGACGUUAGCGGCGGACGGGUGAGUAACACGUGGAUAACCUACCUAUAAGACUGGGAUAACUUCGGGAAACCGGAGCUAAUACCGGAUAAUAUAUUGAACCGCAUGGUUCAAUAGUGAAAGACGGUUUUGCUGUCACUUAUAGAUGGAUCCGCGCCGCAUUAGCUAGUUGGUAAGGUAACGGCUUACCAAGGCAACGAUGCGUAGCCGACCUGAGAGGGUGAUCAGCCACACUGGAACUGAGACACGGUCCAGACUCCUAAGGGAGGCAGCAGUAGGGAAGAUUCCGCAAUGGGCGAAAGCCUGACGGAGCAACGCCGCGUGAGUGAUGAAGGUCUUCGGAUCGUAAAACUCUGUUAUUAGGGAAGAACAAAUGUGUAAGUAACUAUGCACGUCUUGACGGUACCUAAUCAGAAAGCCACGGCUAACUACGUG
This 497-nucleotide ribosomal RNA is filed under the name uncultured bacterium. Its description in RNAcentral is "partial 16S ribosomal RNA". It matches the Rfam family "Bacterial small subunit ribosomal RNA", at positions 28 to 507 of the family's 1533-position model. The record is from RNAcentral.